UCAUCUGGAAAGAUGAAUCAAAGAAGGUAAUAAUCCUGUAGUCGAAAAUGUUGUCUCUCUUGAGUGGAUCCUGAGUACGACGGAGCACGUGAAAUUCCGUCGGAAUCUGGGAGGACCAUCUCCUAAGGCUAAAUACUCUCUAGUGACCGAUAGUGAACCAGUACCGUGAGGGAAAGGUGAAAAGCACCCCGGAAGGGGAGUGAAAUAGAACCUGAAACCGUGUGCUUACAAGUAGUCAGAGCCCGUUAAUGGGUGAUGGCGUGCCUUUUGUAGAAUGAACCGGCGAGUUACGAUUUGAUGCAAGGUUAAGCAGUAAAUGUGGAGCCGUAGCGAAAGCGAGUCUGAAUAGGGCGUUUAGUAUUUGGUCGUAGACCCGAAACCAGGUGAUCUACCCUUGGUCAGGUUGAAGUUCAGGUAACACUGAAUGGAGGACCGAACCGACUUACGUUGAAAAGUGAGCGGAUGAACUGAGGGUAGCGGAGAAAUUCCAAUCGAACCUGGAGAU
This 505-nucleotide ribosomal RNA is filed under the name Staphylococcus aureus. Its description in RNAcentral is "partial 23S ribosomal RNA". It matches the Rfam family "Bacterial large subunit ribosomal RNA", at positions 338 to 846 of the family's 2925-position model. Lineage: Bacteria; Bacillati; Bacillota; Bacilli; Caryophanales; Staphylococcaceae. The record is from RNAcentral.